GGUCGGCUCCCGAGAGCCAGGCGGGUGGAAGUCCGGGUGGAAGCGUGUAAGGUGUUCCCGGACAGCGCCCAGCCGUCUCCCUCUGGUGCCCCCCACCCCUGGCCUAGACAGCAGCGCCAGUCACGCGCUCUCUGUGGGGUUCUGCGUCUUACCUUCCUUUUCAUUUCAGUGCGUUCGGAGCAUCUGUUGAUGUCGGUUUGUGCAUAGAACAAACUUGUUUGGGUAGCUCGCUGUGGUGGCGGCAGUGGACACAUCAGCCCACACUGGCCUCGCACAGGCAUCAUCCGUCUGUUGGGAACGUGCACAUCCCUCGGUAUCUCCGUGGGUUCACACGCAGCGGAAUUCCCAGGUCGGUGGGCAGGUGCGUUUAACGCUUGACGCGCCCUCUCACUUUGCUCCGGCAGCUCUGUCUCGGCGUCUCCGUCCUGGUGUGCGAGCAGCCGUCUGUCCUUCCUUUGCACCAGCACUCGGGGGACUCAGGCUCUUUCCUGCUUGUCAGCGGGCUGGGGAGAGUGAUGCUUGGAAUUUACGUUACUGGGGGUGCGGGCGGACGUUUCCGUAUGAGCAGCUCUAGACACGGUCACCUCUCAAACACGCCACCAGGCGCUCGAGGAAAGAGAAUGCCCGUCCCCGCUAGUUUCGUCUUUGGUCUGACGCAGUCCUAGGAGCUCCCAUUAUGGCUCGGUGGUUACGAACCCAGCUAGUGUCCAUGAGGAUGCAAGUUCGAUCCCUGGCCUCGCUCCAUGGGUUACGGGUCGGCGUUGCCGUGAGCUGCGGCAUAAGUCACAGACGCGGCUCAGAUCCCGUGUUAGUGUGGCUGUGGUGUAGACUGGCGGCUGUAGCUCCAGUGGGACCCUGGCCUGGGAACCUCUAUAUGUCGCAAGUGCAGCCCUUAAGGAAAGCAAUCUACAGCGUAAGAAAUACGCAGUUGACCCAGGAAUAGCCCGGGGGCCACUUGCUCGUCCGUGUGUCGUUUACAGUGGGCCCUCUGCAUCUGUGGCUGAUUCCGUGAUCUCGUGCCCGCGGCGGCCCCCGGCCUCGGGCGGUGGAGCUGCUUUAAGCAAAUCCGCCGUGAGUGGGUCCUCGCAGUCCAAGCCCCUGUUCCUCAAGGUCCAGUUGACGUCUGUGUAGGAGAACAUGAAUUUUUCUGUUGUUCCCAGUUGGUCCUUUUUCUGUCGGUACCAAGUGAAUCGCGUUGUUUCAAUCGCUGGAGCUUUGCUGUUUCUUGUCUCCUUGUUUUCUAGAGAAGUGUGUGCUUUCUACUCUAUUGUUUGUAAUAUUCUUUUCACAAAAAGACCAUUUUAUGGGCUGUUUUUUGCUUUCUGUAUUCCAGUGUGUUUUCCGCUGCUUCAAAACUAUGGACUGUCGGGAGUUCCUGUUGUGGCUCAGCUGGUUAAGGACCUGGUUUUGUCUCUGUGAGGAUGUAGGUUCAAUCCCUGGCCUUGCUCUGGGGGUUAAAGACUCGGUGUUGGCGUGGCUUUGGUGAGGGUGGCAGAUGUGGCUUGGCUCUGGCGUGGCUGUGGCUGUGGUGUAGACCGGCAGCUGCAGCUCUGAUCCAGCCCCUAGCCUGGGAACCUCCAUAUGCUACAGGUGUGGCCCUAAAAAGAAAAAAAAAAAAA
This 1619-nucleotide long non-coding RNA is filed under the name Sus scrofa (pig). RNAcentral's name for it is "lncRNA (ENSSSCG00005018657.1)". The record is from RNAcentral. Lineage: Eukaryota; Metazoa; Chordata; Mammalia; Artiodactyla; Suidae.